CAAUAGCGUAUAUUAAAGUUGUUGCAGUUAGAACGCUCGUAGUCGGAUUUCGGGGCGGGCCGACCGGUCUGCCGAUGGGUACGCACUGGUCGGCGCGUCCUUCCUUCCGGAGACCGUGCCUACUCUUAACUGAGCGGGGGCGGGAGACGGAUCGUUUACUUUGAAAAAAUCAGAGUGUUUCAAGCAGGCAGCUCGCUCUUGCAUGGAUUAGCAUGGGAUAAUGAAAUAGGACUUUGGUGCUAUUUUGUUGGUUUCGAACACCGAAGUAAUGAUUAACAGGGACAGUCAGGGGCACUCGUAUUCCGCCGAGAGAGGUGAAAUUCUCAGACCAGCGGAAGACGAACUACUGCGAAAGCAUUUGCCAGGGAUGUUUUCACUGA
Molecule: ribosomal RNA, 380 nt
Filed under: uncultured eukaryote
Lineage: Eukaryota
Description: partial 18S ribosomal RNA
Rfam family: Eukaryotic small subunit ribosomal RNA
Source: RNAcentral